Long non-coding RNA from Clupea harengus (Atlantic herring), 1522 nucleotides. The record is from Ensembl. NCBI's taxonomy places the organism in Eukaryota, Metazoa, Chordata, Actinopteri, Clupeiformes, Clupeidae.
GAGGAGAUAACUGGGCCCGUGGGCUCUGCGAGGGGAGUCUCUCUGGGCAGGGCGGGUAUUGUGGAGCCGGGGCGGUUUGCCGUACAGGAUUACAGCGUGGCAACAGAUCGUUUGCAGCCGGCACGGUGCAGAGAGAGCCACUGUGCUCCGUGAGCCGUCUGCUCUCUUUAUCAGGCCAGCUGAUCAGACGACUCCUGUUACUCACGGUUACCCAGCAGCUAGGUUACUAGGAGACAGCCAGCCCCCCGGGAGGCAUGGUACAAGACAUGACACAGGAAGUGCUCUUGCACUCAUACAAAAACACAGACAGGACCAGACAUCUGAGCCCACUCCAGAGAGAGGAGCUCCGCUGCUCUGUGCCACGGCUUGCCAGAUACGGAGAGCGGCCCCCGGCAAAAUUAGGGCUGAGAUUACUCAUUACGAUUACCGCCGGCACUCACUCGGAGCCCGCAUCCUAUUAUUAGGAGCCUUCCAUCGCUCCGUGGUACCUGCUCUUCACAUGAAUAAUGAGUGCUGCUUCAGUUCUCCACAUAGUGCCUGGAAUGAACUGACUGGUGUCUCCCCUGCAAACACGCUGCUCUAUAAUAAUAAUAUUUUCACAUACAGUGGCGUGGCAUGCCUAAAUUUGAGCAUCCCUGAUCAAAACGUCUGUUACUGACCUGUUUGGAACCACGCCCACUUUAUCACAGACUGCCUAAAUAACACCAUUUGUACUCUCAUAAAAUAAUCCAUGUUUACCAACAAUAUUCAUUCACAUUCAUGCUAAAAAAAAAAAAAAAAAAAGGCAUCAAGCUAAAGAUGAAACAUUCUUUCAACAUUUUAAGCAAGAUUAGGGUAUUUUCUUUUUGUUUUUUUUUGCACAAUUUAGUGAAAAAAGGAAAGGGGUUGAUUUUAGCUCUCAGAUCACUUUGACCAAAGUCUCAGACCUUAAUUAGCUUGAAAGGUCGGGUCAAAGCUUUAUACCCUGACUCGUCAACCCAUGUCCCAACAUCCAGCAGCCAUGGGCUCCUCUAAGCAGCUGCCUACCCAGAGCUGCCAACAUUGUGUUUCAGAAAGUAGUAGCAAGCCGAGCGGAGCGAGGUGGAAAUGUUUUAGGCCGGGGGUCUGGGGGCCGCUGAGGCCCCCAGAAGCCAGAGACUUUACGUGAUCUGAGAUGCAAUCUAGGUCAUAUUAGGACAUGUUUUUCUGCAAAAAAGUGCAGUAUUUUGAGUGUAUAAUUCUUCUUUUCCCUGUACUGUUGCACACAAUUAUACACAGACAUACAUAAAAAGGUGUUUUAUUACCCAAACACAUGAAAUCAUACUGAAUUACCAAAUACAGUACUGACACUGUAGUGUCAGAUGGUGGUCACUCAGCACUGAACAUUAGAGCAACAUUAGAGUUCAACCUAAAAUAAAUAUUAAUAUUUCUCUACUGAUCUGUGCUACAAAUGUAAUUUCUGUAUAAUUACAAUCAUUUUAAGCAUUAUUAUUAAGCAUUUGAUUUUUACAAUCAAAAUCGCUGAAUUUGCGCAUGUCCUGUU